RNAcentral lists this transfer RNA (72 nucleotides) under Spinacia oleracea (spinach). It matches the Rfam family "tRNA". Rfam says of the family: Transfer RNA (tRNA) molecules are approximately 80 nucleotides in length. Their secondary structure includes four short double-helical elements and three loops (D, anti-codon, and T loops). Lineage: Eukaryota; Viridiplantae; Streptophyta; Magnoliopsida; Caryophyllales; Amaranthaceae. The record is from Rfam by way of RNAcentral.
GCCUUCUUAGCUUAGUGUUAGAGCGCGUGGCUUUUUACCACGUGGUCGUGGGUUUGAUUCCCACAGGCGGCG